RNAcentral lists this ribosomal RNA (1197 nucleotides) under Obruta collector. RNAcentral describes it as "partial large subunit ribosomal RNA". It matches the Rfam family "Eukaryotic large subunit ribosomal RNA", at positions 311 to 1274 of the family's 3401-position model. Lineage: Eukaryota; Metazoa; Porifera; Demospongiae; Bubarida; Bubaridae. The record is from RNAcentral.
UAAAGCUAAAUAAAGNCACGAGACCGAUAGCGANCAAGUNCCGUGAGGGAAAGGUGAAAAGUACUUUGAAAAGAGAGUCAAAGAGNCCGNGAAACCGUUAGGAGGGAAACGAAUGCAGCCCGAUGGGCUUCGGUCGGGUUCAGGGGCGGUGGUGCCGUCGGAGCGGGCGGGCGGACCCGUGAGGGUCGCCUUUCAGUUCUCGAGCGGUCCAUCGCCCUGCACUCCCGGUCGAUAGCCGGCCAACGUCGGUCCGGUUCGGCUCACGCGGAUGGUCGGGCAGGUGCCUCAAUGCGCCGCUUCGGCGUGCGCAGGGAGAACUUACAGCCGAUUGUUCGGCAGUCGGACGUUGCGGACCGAGGAGAUGUGUGACGCUUCACACCGGCAGUGCAGGCUCGCCGUUCUCGCGGUGGGCCGGGUCUCUUCUGAUCGUUGGGUAGGCGCUACUGGGACUGCCCGUCAGUGCCAGUCGACGUCCCGUCCCCUCGGUCGGGAGGUUGGUCACGCCUUGCGCUGUAGUCGCUGGCUGAAGNNNNNNNNNNNNNNNCCCGUCUUGAAACACGGACCAAGGAGUGCAACACGCGUGCGAGUCUGUGGGUGUGUCAGACCCGUCGGCGCAAUGAGAGUAAAGGCGGACGCCUGGUCCGCCGAGGCAGGAGCCGUCCCAAACGGUCGGCCCACUGUUGACCGAUCCCGUUCCACGCUGUGGUGGGAUUCGAGUGAGAGCGUGCCUGUUGCGACCCGAAAGAUGGUGAACUAUGCCUGAAUAGGGCGAAGCCAGAGGAAACUCUGGUGGAAGCUCGCAGCGGUUCUGACGUGCAAAUCGAUCGUCAAAUUUGGGUAUAGGGGCGAAAGACUAAUCGAACCAUCUAGUAGCUGGUUCCCUCCGAAGUUUCCCUCAGGAUAGCUGGAGCCCGGAGCAGUUUUAUCAGGUAAAGCGAAUGAUUAGAGGUCUUGGGGUUGAAACAACCUCAACCUAUUCUCAAACUUUAAAUGGGUAAGAAGUCCGGCUUGCUCGGUUGAAGUCGGACGGUGGAAUGCUGGGGCUCCCAGUGGGCCAUUUUUGGUAAGCAGAACUGGCGAUGCGGGAUGAACCGAACGCCGGGUUAAGGUGCCCGAAUCGACGCUCAUCAGAUCCCAUGAAAGGUGUUGGUUGAUCUAGACAGCAGGACGGUGGCCAUGGAAGUCGGAAUCCGCUAA